Felis catus (domestic cat) is the source of this 85-nucleotide transfer RNA. It matches the Rfam family "tRNA". From Rfam's summary of the family: Transfer RNA (tRNA) molecules are approximately 80 nucleotides in length. The record is from Rfam. Lineage: Eukaryota; Metazoa; Chordata; Mammalia; Carnivora; Felidae.
GCCUGGGUGGCUCAGUCGGUUAAGUGCCAGACUUCAGCUCAGGUCAUGAUCUCACGGGUUGUGGGUUCGAGCCCCACAUCAGGCU